RNAcentral lists this non-coding RNA (241 nucleotides) under Hyaloperonospora arabidopsidis Emoy2. RNAcentral describes it as "Bacterial large subunit ribosomal RNA". It matches the Rfam family "Bacterial large subunit ribosomal RNA", at positions 2656 to 2912 of the family's 2925-position model. The record is from Rfam by way of RNAcentral. Lineage: Eukaryota; Oomycota; Peronosporomycetes; Peronosporales; Peronosporaceae.
UUUAAAAAAUGAAAGAAUCUAACUCUAGUACGAGAGGACCGAGAAGGGUAAAUCUCUGGUGUAUCGGUUGUUGAAAAGCAUCGCCGAGUAGCUAAAUUUAUUUUGGAUAAUUACUGAAAGCAUCUAAGUAAGAAACCAUUCUUAAAUUUUUUUUAUAUAAAAACUGUAAAAGAUCAUUACAUUGAUAGGUUUAAAGUGUACGUAUUGUAAAAUAUUUAGCUUAAAAAUACUAAAAGUUUAA